RNAcentral lists this small RNA (75 nucleotides) under Paenibacillus sp. P22. RNAcentral's name for it is "ctRNA". Lineage: Bacteria; Bacillati; Bacillota; Bacilli; Caryophanales; Paenibacillaceae. The record is from RNAcentral.
CCUUUUCUUCUCUUGAACCGCAGAGGGGCAGCCGCCAAGUCAUUCACUGACUUGGCGGCUGCCCCUUUUUCAUGA